GUGCGCAAUGUAGGAAAUGCUGAGGAAGGAAAUUGAUGCGCUCUAUGCGUGGGACAUGUGUGUCGUUUUUAGACGCAACUGAACUGGCCGUUCCCAGUGUGCGAUCUGUGGUUUCUUGAACAUCUUGUGGAGUUGUAACAGUUAUGUCAGUUUCUUCUUCGGUACAAAUCCGCUUAAACGCAGUGGGUUUGGUACUUCUUGCGUGCAAUGUGGUGUGCAUUGCCUGGUUUUUGCUGUCAAAGGAAUCCCUGAACGUAUCCAGAGACGACAGCCACACUGAAGUGUUAGGCCCAGUGAGAUGGGAGCAGGAGCACAACCCCAGGGGCAUGUCCUUGGACCCGAGCAAGACUCGGAUCGCCGUGGACGACGACGGAAUUUAUGUAGUGUUCGUGCAGGCCGUCUUCAUUCUGAGGAGCGGGAGCACGGACACUGGACAGACGGACAAAAGAGUCCGCCUACGGCUCCAGCUCAACACCAAUGGCACUGAUGGGAUCCCCGAGGACCAGUUGGUUGCAGCCUGGGACGAACGAGAGGUUAAGGACGUUCACGACGAGCAGAUAGUGCAUCUGAGUUUCAUGGUGCUGCUGGAGCUGAAGAAAAGCCAGUACAUACGCGUCAUGGCCAAGCACCGGGACAAGCUGGACUACAACACACCACUCUCCACGUUCCUAACCAUCGUCAAGCAUUCCGAUUUGCAGGACUAAAGCGUGCUCUGAAUGUGUUGCCUGUUUUGACAGAAGUCCUUUUUCUCAAUCGCCAUCUGUCCAUUUUGACCCUAACCAACCUGCUCACAGGGUAAGGGUCAACCAGCUUCCAGCGCACUAUCAGCACUAUCCUACCUUAGCAUCAAUGGGCAGAUUUGCUUACGUUGCCCCCUCUUGUGCAGUGAACCAUUAGUUAUCUGUGGUUGAAAGUUCCUAGAAAUGCUUUGGGUGUCUUUUUUUUUUUGCGACUCCCGCUCAGUGGCUGUGUCGCAUGGGCCAGAGUGUGGAAAAUUCUCCACUUGCAUGGUUGCGACCGUAUUGCAUAACAGCUGCGAGUUUACUGUUCACAGAAUGCCCGUAGAAAACAUCAGCGCCAACAUCAGGAACUGCCACAUGCCUUUGUUCUCGUCACUGCACACUUUACAGCACUGGCCCUUUAGCCAAUCCUCUUCUGUUAUCGGGUACGAUGGAAGGUUUAGUGUCCUGAAUUAUUAAUAUGCAUUGUCAGUCUAGCGAUGAUUAGCUCUACUUAUUAUUUUUAUGGCACUUCCUGGUAUUUUAACACACAUUUAUAGCAAUAACAUUAAAUUCUCACACUUUAUCUUUCAGUCUUCAUUCUUUUUUGUAUUAUGGUUCAUUCAGAUUUAAACAAGCUAUGUUGAGGGGAAUCUUCAAACUAAAUAUAUGUACAGAAGUUUAUGUAUAUGAACAUAUUGUAAGUUGUGUUUUUGUAAUUUAUCUGGACAUAUUUUUUGGCCUUUUGUUCUUGGUGUCUGUUCUGUGCUAUCACACUGCUGGUAAAGAAAGCCUUGUUCUAUGUGUUUCUGAAUCAUGUAAGCCAGUAACUGGUACACAUAACAUUUAAAUGUUGCUCUGAAAGCAACCAAUCGUAUGUAUGCUAACUGAAGUGGGCCAUUUCAAAAUCAGCAGGUAGAUGAGGGUAAUUUGUGAAAAAGCGACCCUCUUGAAUUCAAUUUUUGUAAAUUUAGUUGAACAAAAAAUACACAGUAUUUAACUUUCUGGGGAUGAGUUCUUGAUCGUGCUGACAAAAAUCUGUCAAACAUCUGGGCACUUUCCUCUCAGCUAAGGAAAUAAUUGCCACAAAGCUUCCACUGGUCGUUAAUUGUGUGUAACAUGUUUCACAUCAGGUUUAAUAUCUGAAUAUAUGAUGCCUGUAACACAUAGCAUACAUUAUUAUGGCAAAGGAGUGAAAGUGUGAACUCUCUUGUGUGAGAAAAUCUCUUGUAAUGAAGUCAUGUUUUGUCUGGAUUUAGUUUCAGUGACUCACAACUUGCCACACUCUUCACUUGGACCAGAUAUCUGUGUACUGUAUUCUGCAGGCAACAUAGUUUGUUGAAUGUAUUUCUAUUACCAAGAACCACUGCUAUGGUAAUAUGUUUGUAAUUAUCUAUUUAUAUCUAAAUUAAAAAGCUGUAAUAAGUUUACUAACUGUAAUAAUCUAUUGUCAUGCUGAUUCAGUGCAGUAUUUAUGUAUUUAUGCUCCAAUAAAAUAUUAACAAUAUAGCCCUUUUGUGCCACAGGUGUGAGUAUGUGUUUAUUGUGUGGUAAUGUUAAGAGGGGAUAAUUAACUUAAUGGCUUAGUUCUCAGUCCUCAUAUAGUGUUGGAGGGAAAGGGG
Long non-coding RNA from Clupea harengus (Atlantic herring), 2341 nucleotides. The record is from Ensembl. Lineage: Eukaryota; Metazoa; Chordata; Actinopteri; Clupeiformes; Clupeidae.